RNAcentral lists this unclassified non-coding RNA (350 nucleotides) under soil metagenome. Its description in RNAcentral is "partial contains 5.8S ribosomal RNA, internal transcribed spacer 2, and large subunit ribosomal RNA". The stretch from base 1 to 120 matches the Rfam family "5.8S ribosomal RNA", at positions 35 to 154 of the family's 154-position model. The record is from RNAcentral.
GAUGAAGAACGUAGCGAAAUGCGAUAAGUAAUGUGAAUUGCAGAAUUCAGUGAAUCAUCGAGUCUUUGAACGCACAUUGCGCCCCCUGGCAUUCCGGGGGGCAUGCCUGUCCGAGCGUCAUUGCUGCCCUUCAAGCCCGGCUUGUGUGUUGGGUCGUCGUCCCCCCCGGGGGACGGGCCCGAAAGGCAGCGGCGGCACCGCGUCCGGUCCUCGAGCGUAUGGGGCUUUGUCACCCGCUCGAUUAGGGCCGGCCGGGCGCCAGCCGGCGUCUCCAACCUUCUAUUUUACCAGGUUAACCUCGGAUCAGGUAGGGAUACCCGCUGAACUUAAGCAUAUCAAUAAGCGGAGGA